AAGAUUAAGCCAUGCAUGUCUAAGUACAUCCCAAAAACAAAGAGAAACCACGAAUGGCUCAUUAUAUCAGCUAUGAUUCCUUGAAGCUACACAYUAUCCAAUUUGGAUAACUGUGGCAAUUCUAGAGCUAAUACAUGCACUUAGUCUCUUGCCUGCUCGUGUGCAUACCUAGUUGUGUGCAUACACAGGCAAGGGCGCACUUAUUAGAAUCAUAACCGGCAUGUUCUGGCUCCGGCCAGAGAGCAAACUGCCAUUGUGAUGACUCUGGAUAACUAAGCUGAGCGCUCCUAGCGAGCGCCGCUUCUUUCAAGUGUCUGACCUAUCAGCUAUAUUGUAGGGUAACGGCCUACAAUGGCUAUAACGGGUAACGGGGAAUCAGGGUUCGAUUCCGGAGAGGGAGCCUGAGAAACGGCUACCACAUCCAAGGAAGGCAGCAGGCACGCAAAUUACCCACUCCUGGCACGGGGAGGUAGUGACGAAAAAUAACAAUGCGAGGCUCGAAAGAGCGCUUGCAAUUGUAAUGAGUACACUUUAAAUCCUUUUGCAAGUACCAAUUGGAGGGCAAGUCUGGUGCCAGCAGCUGCGGUAAUUCCAGCUCCAAUGGCACAUAUCAGAGUUGUUGCGGUUAAAAAGCUCGUAGUUGGACUAUCACUUUGCUGGGUUGACCUUCCGUUUGGUGUAGCCUCCUCGACAUGCUGGUGAGUUAUUUUCCCAGCGACAGUGUUGAGGUAGGGCAUGAGCCAUCGGAGUCAAAAAAAAGCCUAGCAUAACCGCUGGAACCAACCCUUUAACGAGUGUGUUGGUUCCAUACUGUUGGCUCACACGGGAUGCUCUUAACUGAGUGUGUCGAGUGGCUAACAUGUUUACUUUGAAUAAAUUAGAGUGCUCAGAGCAGGCAAUAUAUAGCCUGAAUGGUGGUGCAUGGAAUAAUAAAAAAAGACCUCGGUCCUAUUGUUGUCCUAUGGGUGUGGUAUUGAGUUGAGAGAGAGAGAUAACGAUUACCAAGGAGUCGUCUAUCUCAUGCCGGUUCUGAUAGAGCCGGAGGUAAUGAUUAAAAGGGAUAUAUGGGGGCAUUUGUACUGCGGCGCGAGAGGUGAAAUUCUAUGACCGUCGCAAGACAGCCCAAAGCGAAAGCAUUUGCCAAGGAUGUUUUCUUUAAUCAGGAACGAAAGUUAGAGGUUCGAAGGCGAUCAGAUACCGCCCUAGUUCUAACCAUAAACUAUGCUAACCAGCAAUCUGUCGCCGGUCUCACCAGACCAGACAGGCAUCUUCCGGGAAACCAAAGUCUUUGAGUUCCGGGGGGAGUAUGGUUGCAAAGCUGAAACUUAAAGGAAUUGACGGAAAGGCACCACCAGGAGUGGAGCCUGCGGCUUAAUUUGACUCAACACGGGAAACCUCACCAGGUCCGGACACUAUAAGGAUUGACAGAAUGAAAGCUCUUUCUCGAUUUAGUGGGUGGUGGUGCAUGGCCGUUCUUAGUUGGU
RNAcentral lists this ribosomal RNA (1484 nucleotides) under Phylladiorhynchus amphion. Its description in RNAcentral is "SSU rRNA". The record is from RNAcentral. Lineage: Eukaryota; Metazoa; Arthropoda; Malacostraca; Decapoda; Galatheidae.